Molecule: ribosomal RNA, 500 nt
Filed under: uncultured bacterium
Lineage: Bacteria
Description: partial 16S ribosomal RNA
Rfam family: Bacterial small subunit ribosomal RNA
Source: RNAcentral
AUUGAACGCUGGCGGCAGGCUUAACACAUGCAAGUCGACCGGAGCGAGGGUGCUUGCACCUUAGCUUAGCGGCGGACGGGUGAGUAAUGCUUAGGAAUCUGCCUAUUAGUGGGGGACAACAUUCCGAAAGGAACGCUAAUACCGCAUACGUCCUACGGGAGAAAGCAGGGGACCUUCGGGCCUUGCGCUAUCAGAUGAGCCUAGGUCGGAUUAGCUAGUUGGUGGGGUAAUGGCUCACCAAGGCGACGAUCCGUAACUGGUCUGAGAGGAUGGUCAAUCACACUAGGAGCAAGACACGUUCCAGACGCCUACGGGAGGCAGCAGUGGGGAAUAGUGGACAAUGGGCGAAAGCAUGAGCCAGCAAUGCCGCGUGUGUAAAGGAGGUCUUCGGAAUGAAAAGCACUUUAAGUUGGGAGGAAGGGCAGUAAGUUAAUACCUUGCUGUUUUGACGUUACCGACAGAAUAAGCACCGGCUAACUCUGUGCCAGCAGCCGCCGUAA